UCCGGUUUGUCACCGGCAGUCAUCCUAGAGUGCCCACCUUUAUGUGCUGGCAACUAAGAUCAAGGGUUGCGCUCGUUGCGGGACUUAACCCAACAUCUCACGACACGAGCUGACGACAACCAUGCACCACCUGUCUCCUUUGUCCCGAAGGAAAGGCACAUCUCUGCACCGGUCAAAGGGAUGUCAAGACCUGGUAAGGUUCUUCGCGUUGCUUCGAAUUAAACCACAUACUCCACUGCUUGUGCGGGCCCCCGUCAAUUCCUUUGAGUUUUAGCCUUGCGGCCGUACUCCCCAGGCGGGGCACUUAAUGCGUUAGCGCCGGCACGGGGGGAGUCGACACCCCCACACCUAGUGCCCAUCGUUUACGGCGUGGACUAC
RNAcentral lists this unclassified non-coding RNA (378 nucleotides) under uncultured Bacillota bacterium. RNAcentral's name for it is "uncultured Firmicutes bacterium contains 16S-23S intergenic spacer region". The record is from RNAcentral. Lineage: Bacteria; Bacillati; Bacillota.